GAGAGCAAGCUCCGUCGAUAGGUCUUACCAGCAACAGCCCUGCUGCAGCAAGAGGGGAGAGAGGCAGCAAGAGAGGCAGAGAGGGCUCCAAAAAGAGAAGUAACACUAACACCAGGGACUGUGCUCCUGCCACCAUCCAGUGUCCUUUAGAGAUCGCAUUCGGGCUCGCUUGGCGUAGGAGGCUUCGCCCAUUGACGAUGCUGGAGACCCGGCGCGCUUAAUCCCACGGGGAGGGAGAGUGGGCAGACACCAAAAGGGUUAACGGAAAGGAAAUUUCUGGAACCUUCUAUUCUGCGGCGCUACACAGCGAGCGGAGGGCUGAGGACUGCGCAGAUGGUGCACGGGCAGAGCUCUUCGGUCCGGUUCGUCUUUCUCACUGACCAGCAAUGAAGAUGGCAACUCUGGAAGUGCUGAGGACACAACCAGCUUUGAGCUUGGUCCUUCUGGCCGAGGAAGCCUCCUGAUUAUGCAGUGGAGUGGGAAGGCUCUCUGAAUGACGCGACAGCCAUGAUCUCCUGCUGCACUUGUUUUGCCGAUGGUCAUGUUACAUCUGUGACGCAGCCCGAUUUUGCUGUUGGCUCCUGUCUGUGCUUUAUGGAGUUGAGCUGAGGAAGGCAGAAGCUUGAAUACGGUUAGAAACAUUCAUUUAAUAUGGAUGGUAAAGUUCACAACCAUACCUGAAGUGGCAGGGAUACUGGCAUCCUCCUAUCUCCCCACCCGCAGAUGGUGAAGGGAUCUGGAUGAACACAACAGCACCUCUGGCCAUUUUGUUGCUCGCAGGGUAGGCUCUGAGCCUGCAGCACUGCUGCUGCUGCUGCUGUUAAUUUCCAUGUUACACAAAUACUGCGUCGGGCUCUGUGUCAGGAGCUUUACUGAUGCUGUGAGAAGCUUUGAGUCUACAAGUAAAUGUUUUGCUUGUCUUAUUUGGGAAUAUUCAUUAAAAUAUCCAAAUGCCAA
Molecule: long non-coding RNA, 957 nt
Organism: Neopsephotus bourkii (Bourke's parrot)
Lineage: Eukaryota; Metazoa; Chordata; Aves; Psittaciformes; Psittacidae
Exons: 3
Source: RefSeq, a predicted model, not a curated record